RNAcentral lists this ribosomal RNA (1488 nucleotides) under Companilactobacillus nantensis. RNAcentral's name for it is "bacterial SSU rRNA". It matches the Rfam family "Bacterial small subunit ribosomal RNA". Lineage: Bacteria; Bacillati; Bacillota; Bacilli; Lactobacillales; Lactobacillaceae. The record is from RNAcentral.
GACGAACGCUGGCGGCAUGCCUAAUACAUGCAAGUCGAACGAACUCUGGUGAUGAUUGAAGCUUGCUUCAUGAAUCACAUUUGAGUGAGUGGCGGACGGGUGAGUAACACGUGGGUAACCUGCCCAAAAGUGGGGGAUAACAUCUGGAAACAGGUGCUAAUACCGCAUAACAACUACUUUCACAUGAUCGUAGUUUAAAAGAUGGCUCUGCUAUCGCUUUUGGAUGGACCCGCGGCGUAUUAGCUAGUUGGUGAGGUAAAGGCUCACCAAGGCAAUGAUACGUAGCCGACCUGAGAGGGUAAUCGGCCACAUUGGGACUGAGACACGGCCCAAACUCCUACGGGAGGCAGCAGUAGGGAAUCUUCCACAAUGGGCGAAAGCCUGAUGGAGCAAUGCCGCGUGAGUGAAGAAGGUUUUCGGAUCGUAAAACUCUGUUGUUGAAGAAGAACAUGCGUGAGAGUAACUGUUCACGUACUGACGGUAUUCAACCAGAAAGCCACGGCUAACUACGUGCCAGCAGCCGCGGUAAUACGUAGGUGGCAAGCGUUGUCCGGAUUUAUUGGGCGUAAAGAGAAUGUAGGCGGUUUAUUAAGUUUGAAGUGAAAGCCCUCGGCUCAACCGAGGAAGUGCUUCGAAAACUGGUAAACUUGAGUGCAGAAGAGGAAAGUGGAACUCCUUGUGUAGCGGUGGAAUGCGUAGAUAUAUGGAAGAACACAAGUGGCGAAGGCGGCUUUCUGGUCUGUAACUGACGCUGAGAUUCGAAAGCAUGGGUAGCAAACAGGAUUAGAUACCCUGGUAGUCCAUGCCGUAAACAUGAGUGCUAAGUGUUGGAGGGUUUCCGCCCUUCAGUGCUGCAGCUAACGCAUUAAGCACUCCGCCUGGGGAGUACGAUCGCAAGAUUGAAACUCAAAGGAAUUGACGGGGGCCCGCACAAGCGGUGGAGCAUGUGGUUUAAUUCGAAGCAACGCGAAGAACCUUACCAGGUCUUGACAUACCAUGAAAAGCUAAGAGAUUAGUCUUUCCCUUCGGGGACAUGGAUACAGGUGGUGCAUGGUUGUCGUCAGCUCGUGUCGUGAGAUGUUGGGUUAAGUCCCGCAACGAGCGCAACCCUUAUUAUCAGUUGCCAGCAUUCAGUUGGGCACUCUGGUGAGACUGCCGGUGACAAACCGGAGGAAGGUGGGGACGACGUCAAAUCAUCAUGCCCCUUAUGACCUGGGCUACACACGUGCUACAAUGGUCGGUACAACGUGCUGCGAACUCGCGAGGGUAAGCAAAUCACUUAAAACCGAUCUCAGUUCGGAUUGUAGGCUGCAACUCGCCUACAUGAAGCUGGAAUCGCUAGUAAUCGCGGAUCAGCAUGCCGCGGUGAAUACGUUCCCGGGCCUUGUACACACCGCCCGUCACACCAUGAGAGUUUGUAACACCCAAAGCCGGUGGGGUAACCCUUCGGGGAGCUAGCCGUCUAAGGUGGGACAAAUGAUUAGGGUG